CGUCCUGUCCUGUCCGCCCACCGUCGCCCUGUACGUACAACGGAAACUUCGGUCGCAUCCUCCGGCGGUACCCCCGCGGUGAGUCCGUGAGUAAACAGCCGGCGCGGAGAUGAAGGAUGUUUCAUUUUCUGAGCUCAGCUUAUCGUAUCUGGGUCUGAAAUUCAGGAGGGGGCGUAUGUUUAAGUGGUUUAAAGAGUCUUCGGCACUCAUUUGAAAGGCAAAAGGACCAGAGGACGAGAUCUAAAGCGUGAGCACCCCCAGCAGUGUGAUAAGGAGUGGUGUAAGGAGUGAUACGGUCACCGGGUGGUCCUGGAAACUGAUUUCUUCUCUUGAACUCUUCUGCAUUUCAGCAGCUCCCUACGAAUGUGUUAGAGGCUCUGCUGGCAUCAACUGACAUGGCUCAGCGGAGGAAAUCAACUCAGCUGUAUCUUGGCACAAUGAAUACCUUACCAGGAAUCACAUCUAUCUUUCAGGUUUAUCUAUCUCAUGCUGACACCUGUAAUGCCUCUCAAACUAGUAUUUGCUGAUGAAUUCAUGAGCAUACUAUUUAGCAGCUCCUCUUCGGAAAUUUCUGUUUUUAAUGGCAGUCGGGAAGCACUGAGACAAGGAUGAGCAGGCUACUUAAGCAGCUUAUUUAUCAGAACCAAAAGAAAACAUCCACAAGGACACUCAUAAUAGUACAACUCUUGGAGACCUUGCUGCAGUUGGAGGCCUUGUAUUAUGGCCUACAGUAAGACGUUGCCUUCUUGGAGGAGGUUUCAGUGUAAGAAAAAUCUGCCACAGGGAUGCAGAACGCAAGAGGAGAGUAAGGACCAACAAGGAGAAAAGCAAAGGACAGAAGAGUGCCCACCAAACUUACAGCUGAUGCAGUCAGAACUCACAGCCUGCAGCCUGAAUUGUGCUUAACAGUCCAAAGUGAGAAGAUGAUGAGCCUGACACCACUUCUUAAUCCAUUAAAUACUGUGACGAUGACUUCAGCUUCCAUGCUAUGUUUUACAUGACACCUAAUAGACAGCUAUACCUAGGAGAGAAUAUGAAGCCCUUCCUUGUUUUCUGCUGGGUUUCUCCUUGAAUUUUCUCAUAUAUCAAGUGUCUACAGACAUACGAUUCUGUUUUCUGCCAAGGGAUAUGAUGUAAUUGUUGGUUGCAAACCUCACAUUCAAACACAUUCUAAUUGAAACACUAAAGCAGUGGAUGAGGCCGAUUCAAAUCUGGCUAUGUAGAGGAUGGUCUCAUUCUUGCUGUUAUUGAUACUUGUAUCAGAGCCAUGUCAGUCGCUAAGGAUUUUGCUAGCAAAUCAUAUUCAAGGCCCCUUUUUAAGUUCUUCCUGCCAGCAUUCACAGAAAUCUAUCCCUUAUAUAUUAUCUUAAUCAGUCUCUGCUGAUUUUUGUAGGCUCUGUAAAAAUUGCUCAGUGAUCACAGAUUUCCCAGUGAUUGCAAUUUCCGUCCUGAAGCAUUAUUGGCCAACACAUCCUAGCACUUUAGUAUAUUCAUCUACUUGGGAUCUUUAGCCUGUCCUAACCUUCAGCUCACUGCCACCAGGGUAAGCACACUCCUCCAAGCUAGAGAAUACAGGAAGGAGCUUAGAAGCAAGUUCUUUUGUUUCUCUCCAAUGGGCCUGCAGAAGCGGAAGGGACCCAGAACUUUGAGGGUAAUUGUUGGUGAUUUAUUUUUCUCCUUUGUUCAUCCUUCCCAAUCAACAACUACGAGAGCCUUAAAAGUUCUGCAUUCCUCCCUUACCACAUUUCUUCUGUCAUUCUCUCUUUACCAGAUUUCUUCUGUCCUUCAGGGCUAUGUGAUUGAUGUUGUGGGGUAGCUACAGAGUACGUACCCAUCUCCCACAUCACCGGUACCAGCAUCAGUGAGCCUAAUGCUGUCAGCAAAGAUCCUAGUCUCUCUCCCUACCAGUUUAAUAGCUUCCCUACUUUUCUCUCUGACUCUCUGCUGUGUGGUGAGAGAGUCAUGUAUAUGCAUCAGCUUAUAACUCAUCAAAUGUGACCAAUAGUUUUAUGGUGCUUAAUGCAUGAGCUAAAUGUGAACUGAUGUGAACUGAAAUGUAAGGAAAUCACCAGGCAGCAGGUUUUAAACAAACAGAAAACAAUUGCUUUAAUAUGGUGCUUAAUACUGUUGUGGGAUUCAGUUGUUGUGGCAGCAAAAACGGGCUUUAAAAAGAUUGGGAAGAUUUGUGAAGGAUGAUUCCAUCCUUACCUAUUAAAUGUGAUGAUCCAAACGCAUCCUCUGACUCAGGAAACCACACAACUUUGCCAAAAGGUGCCUCAUUGUUCUAGGAGAAGAAAGUCUUCAGAGAGAAACAUUCUGUGAGCACCAACCUUGGCCCCUGUUGAUGGUAAGAUGUUGAGUUAGCUGACCUUUGGUAUGAAUGAACGCUGUUAUAUUUUUCCUUAAAGGUCUGCAUUUAGCUAAUAAAUCUUUUAUACUGAGUAA
Long non-coding RNA from Pezoporus occidentalis (night parrot), 2445 nucleotides. RefSeq lists it as uncharacterized. NCBI's taxonomy places the organism in Eukaryota, Metazoa, Chordata, Aves, Psittaciformes, Psittacidae. The record is from RefSeq and is a predicted model, not a curated record. The transcript has 5 exons.